Molecule: small nucleolar RNA, 90 nt
Organism: Mytilus trossulus (common blue mussel)
Lineage: Eukaryota; Metazoa; Mollusca; Bivalvia; Mytilida; Mytilidae
Product: small nucleolar RNA SNORD70
Exons: 1
Source: RefSeq, a predicted model, not a curated record
GUUAUAGCUGUCAAUGAUGGAAAACAUUGGCGACUGAUAACAGUGAUGUCAUUCUACCUAUUUCGUCACUACCUCUGAGAUAGCUAUAGC